RNAcentral lists this ribosomal RNA (305 nucleotides) under uncultured bacterium. Its description in RNAcentral is "bacterial SSU rRNA". It matches the Rfam family "Bacterial small subunit ribosomal RNA", at positions 337 to 640 of the family's 1533-position model. The record is from RNAcentral.
CCCUACGGGGGGCAGCGGUGAGGAAUAUUGGUCAAUGGUCGGGAGACUGAACCAGCCAAGCCGCGUGAGGGAGGAAGGUACAGAGUAUCGUAAACCUCUUUUGUCAGGGAACAAGGGCGGGGACGUGUCCCCGGAUGAGUGUACCUGAAGAAAAAACAUCGGCUAACUCCGUGCCAGCAGCCGCGGUAAUACGGAGGAUGCGAGCGUUAUCCGGAUUUAUUGGGUUUAAAGGGUGCGCAGGCGGUCUGUUAAGUCAGCGGUCAAAGCCCGGGGCUCAACCCCGGCCCGCCGUUGAAACUGGCAGC